GUCACACCUCUGAAGCUCCUAAUUAGUGAUCUCACUGAAGUGUAGGCGACGAGGUAAUGGUAGAUUGACUUCAACUGGGCCCAUGGCCUCAGUACCAUAAGCCAUCGAGAAUGGGGUUUCUCCUGUGGGGAUUCUAGGGUGGUUCGGAUUGUCCAAAACACUUGUGGCAGUUCAUCAACCUAUGCCCCUUUUCACCCUGUAAGGCCUCUUCACACUCCUUUGUCCAUUGGAACCUCUUUCCCUCUUUAAAGAUAUUGAAGAACGAGAGGCACUAAUCAGUGACUUUUGAGAUAAAAUUGCUGAGUCCAGCCACAGGACAAGUUAAGCUUUGGACCUUUUUGGGCUUCUCAGGAGAUCUCAUUUUAGUUAGGGUAUGGAUUUUCUCGGGGUUGGCUUCUAUUCCCCUUUGAUUGACCAUGUAUCCCAAGAACUUCCCAAAUGCAACACCGAACACACAUUUAAGAGGGUUGGGCCUUAUCCUAUAUCUUCGUAAAAUUUGAAAGGUCUCGUUCAGGUGCACUAUAUGGUAACUUUUGACAAGCAUGUCGUUUACAUAGACUUCCAUUGUCUUGCCAAUGAGAUUUGUAAACUUCUUGUUGAUAAGCUUUUGAUAGGUAGGGCUGUCAUUUUUCAAGUCGAAGGGCAUCAUUUUGUAACAAUAUAGGCCUCUAUCCUUGAUGAAGGAGGUGCACUCUUCAUCGAUCGGGUACAUGAAAAUUUGGCUAUAGCCUAAGUAGGCGUCCAUGAAGCUCACCAACUCAUGUUCGACAAUGAAGUCCACCAAUUGAUUAAUUUUGAGAAGCGGGAAACUAUCCUUGGGACAUGUCUUUUUGAGAUUGGUAAAGUCGAUGCAUACCUACCAUUUUCUUUAUACUUCUUCACAGAACUGAGUUAGAGACCUACUUCUGAUAAAUGGCCUCUCUGGUGAAACUAUUUUUGACCAGCUUCUGUACUUCUUCCUUUAAAGCCUCUUACUUUUUUGAAUUUAGAGCUCUUCUCUUUUGUUUAUGCGGGGCAACCUUAGGAUCAAUUUCCAGUUAGUGGCAACUGACUUUGGGGUCGAUGCCCACCAUGUCCUCAUACCUCCAUGCGAAGACAUCCAGGUUUCUACUUAGGAAGCCCUUCAGUUUUCCUUUGAGAUUUUUCGAGAGGCCCAUACCAACCUUCAACACUUUGGCAGGAUCCCGGGGGUCUAUCAGAAAACUUUCUAGCUCCUCAAUUGAGGCUAUUUGAGGCUCACACUCAACCACGUGAAGAUCAAUUUCAUCAAGCACAAGUGCUUUUCAUUCGAAAUGAGCAUCAAUCAUAUCAAUGUCUUUAUGCUCCAGGGUUCAGCUUUCCUUAAGGAGCUUAGGUAGUACUCCCGCGAACCUCUCUAGUCACCCUUCACAGUUGCCACCCCAUUUUCGAUCGAGAAUUUUAUACACAAGUGGUGGACGAAAGUGAUAGCUCUCAAAAUCUUCCAGUGCGAGUCUUCCCAGCAUCCCAUGAUAAGAAGAUCGACUGUCGACAAUCAAGAAUUCCAUGAAGUUCAAUUUGGUUUGAGGUGAAUUUCCUAUUUCCACCGCAAGUGUGAUCUUUCCCAUUUCCAUCUCCGAUGAAUCCAUAUAAGGGAGUGGUUGUAGGAGUUAACUCAUGAUCGAAGAUCAUCUUAUCAAAAGUAGAUCCAAAAAGGAUGUUCACUGAACUGCUAUUAUCAACCAGCAUUUGUUUGAACCUAUUUCGAGCUAUCACAACUCUUAUCACAAGUGCAUUACAGUGGGAAAAAUGAACCCCCUUCUGCAUUUUCUUGAGUGAAGAUGAUAAGGGGGUGCUUGGUUCCCUCUAGAGCUAUUGUUCACUAUGUAGCUUGUCAAUAGGGGGUGUUUCGCCUCCCGGGCAGAAUUCUUUUAUGCGUUCUGUGUUUCGUUGCCUACAUAGGGCCUCCAAAUAUGGUAUCUACCUCAUGUAUUCGAGCCUCCUAUUGAGCCUAAUGACCUCUGCGUUGUCUGUGCCCUUCUCUGGACCUUUCUACAUUUUGCUCCCUCCUCUUACGGGGAGAUAUAUCCCUUUGGCGGAAAGCGGCCUCCUCACGCCCAGGUUACUGGUCAUACAUAGGUGGGAGCCAUUCACCAGAGAUGAAUCAUUUCUUUUUUUGUCCUUGGGACUUGCUCGUCAAGGGUGACAUACAAAGUCCUAGCAAUCCGUAGUGAGUGGUGAUAUGAACAACACUGGUGAGAACUCGGAUUCUACCUAGGCCUCGAGCCUCACCCUUACCUCUUCCCUUAUGGGGGCUUGUUGUGCAGGUUCAACGUGUCGUGUGUUCGUGGCUGGCGUUACAUCUUUAUAAGCCAGGGUCGGUACCGCAUUCAAAGUGGUGGCUACAAGUGCCUACCCUGAGUUUUUAUUACCAGUUGAAUUCAUCUGGUAGUCCAUAAAAUGGGAGGUCGGUCCUCUUGCAUACUACCUUUGUUGGGGUGGAAGGCCUCGGCUAGCCCAGUUCCUAUGUUCAAUCAAUUCCUCAUUGAGUAUCUCUCGUCUCAUCAUUUCAAGCAACGCGUCAUAGGUAGUGGGAUCCUGGUUUUAUAAAUCCCUCCAAAAUAAAGUAUUCAUGUUGAGACCCCUUCUUAAUACCGACAAGGCUUCACGAUCAAUGACUUGCACGCAAUACGUCAUUUUGUCCAUAAAGUGCGAUAAGAAGCUUUUCAAAGAUUCCCCAGGCGCUUGUCUCAUAUCUUGGAUGCAUUGAAUGGGGGCCUUCCCUUCCUUGCUUAUGACAAAUUAUUUUAAGAAAGUAGUUUAGAACUCUGGCCAGCUCCUUAUGCUCCUAGGUGGUAGCCUGAUGUACUAGAUUUCAGCAACUCUACUAAGUAUUAAUGGAAGGCCCUGCAUUUCACUAUUAGGAUAGCGCCUCUCAAACUCAUAUGAAUUUUAUAAUGUUUAAGUGUUUUUCUGGUCGCCUCUCCCGUCAUAUUUCAGUACCUUCAGCAUGACAUAGUAGCUCCACACUUGGGGCAUUUUUCAGGGCUCUCCAAAACAGUAAAUUUUCGUCAUCGUCGUCGUCUAAGUCAUAAGACCUCUGCUAUUCAUUUGAAUCAUUGUUUUCAUCAACCUCGUAACUGUGUGUUGAAUGAAAAAUGCCUGCUUGAUUCCUAGACUUCUCCUCCCUCUUUUGAUACCUAUUUCUUGGUAGAGCAGUGCAGGGAGCAUUUUCUUGCCUUCCUUCUGGUUGCUGAAUUGAAGGUGGGGGCUAUACCCUCGUGCAAGGCUUACGAGCUGUUAUUGCAACUUGGGCCUCGGCUCUACUGGGCUAAUUCUGUCAGACACACUACUGGACCUCCUAAGCCUUUUUUCUAGCUCAUGCACUAGGAAGAAGUUAUCUUCCAUAUUGUAUAGGACCUCGGUGGGUCGACAGGAAGCAUAGUUGGAGGAGAUAUAGAUCUCCACUUCCCUUUCAAUGGGUCUAACUCCCCUGUUGUGCCUAGAAGAUGUGGCUCACUGACUUUGAACCUCGUCUUCUUGCUGAUAUUAUUCGUGAGGCGCAUAGAAAGGCAUGGGAUGACCUUCCUGGCCCUGUAUUCGCAUUAGUAACUCUUGCAUAACUAAGUUCUAGUUGGUGAUGUUUCUCAUGUUGGUUGCCAUGGUAGCUAUUUCCCUAGUGAGCAGUGCCGCCAUUUGCAUCCCACCUCUUCUGUAGUGGUGGUGGGGUCGACAACGACCAGUUGGGACAGUCGCUGGUGGGAUCACACCAACAUUUUCUCUCACCCUCCUGGGGGGUACAUCUUCAUUAAAGCUCAUAUCCCUGGAUCUCAACUUCAAAUCUUCAAUUUAUGGGGCUUCCUCUUGUUCUUUUUCAAGAACAAAUCCUCUCUCAAGGGGAAUGCCCAAAUAUUUGUCUUACAGCAAGCUUUCACCACAUGGUUGCUCAUGGUUAUGGUAUGGCUUCCUACAGAAAGGGCCAAUCUGUUGAUCUUGUUUUCGAUUAGGGCCACGUGGACAACAGAUACCAAAUCCACCCACGCACACAUAAGACAAGUCCUACAAGCUAAGACACGACAAUUAUCUGGAACGGCCUAAAAAGGGGCGUGGGAACAGCUCAAAGGCAUGGGACGACAACGUUUGGAAUCCGACAUUACAUUUGAAGAGCGAUUGUACAAUAAUUAUCAAUCGUAGGGGAUUAAUGUUAUGUAAACUCAGUUGUAUUUGUAAGAAAAUGAAAUGGAGUGAAUUGUUUAUGUAUCUCUAGUAUUGAGUUUGUAUGAAAUUUACAUUAGCCUUAUAAUGGGAACAUUGUGGAGUAUUUAUAGUAGUGCAAGGUGAAUUGUGGCCCUUGGAUGGGAGUACGUGUGGUCUCAUCUCCACAAUCCAUACAUCUAAUCCGAGGCACCAUUAUCUUUGACUUGUUAAUCCACUUUACAUUUAUUAAGUGGUAAAAUCGCCACUUUGUUUAAUAAAACUUGACACUCAAACUCUAUGAUAGAUGUUGC
This 4466-nucleotide long non-coding RNA is filed under the name Olea europaea subsp. europaea. Lineage: Eukaryota; Viridiplantae; Streptophyta; Magnoliopsida; Lamiales; Oleaceae. The record is from RNAcentral.